GCAAGGUGCCUUUUUGCAUUGCAAAAAGCUGAAAUGGGAAAGCGGUUCAAAGCCGCUGCUGCCCCCGCAACGGUAAUUUUGUGCGGGCGCGCCAGUGCCAAUAGGCAAGCCACUGAACGCAAAAGUUUGGGAAGGCGGCGCGUCAAAACAAAAAAGCCCGGAGACCGACCUUGUUUUUUU
RNAcentral lists this non-coding RNA (180 nucleotides) under human gut metagenome. The record is from RNAcentral.